Long non-coding RNA from Octopus bimaculoides (California two-spot octopus), 1374 nucleotides. The record is from RefSeq and is a predicted model, not a curated record. Lineage: Eukaryota; Metazoa; Mollusca; Cephalopoda; Octopoda; Octopodidae.
AGCAAAAUCUAUAAAUAUGUUCAAUAGAAUAUUAUAGCAAAGAAACAAAAUUGUUAACACACUGGUAAUUUAAUACACAUGCACAUUAGAUACUGCCAUCACUGCAUCUAUAAAACAAGAAGAAAUUUAUAAGGGAUACUGAUAUUUAAAAAGACUUGAAGUGUUAAUAUUUGAGGCACAAAUUUUAUAACUAAAAAUACUUAAAUUCAAAGUACAGAGCUGACAUCCAGCUUAUCCUCAUGGGAGAGUGGAGAAUACACUCCUAACAUGAUAACUACUACAUGCAACAUAAAAUGAAAAAUAUGGAAGCAAAAAAAUUGGCUGUGUGGUGAAGAAGCUCGCUUUGCAACCAUGUGGCUUUGGGUUCAGGUCAACAUAAUUGUUUCGUUAAUCCAGUAACAACAAUACAAAUUACCUGGCUGGAGAGAGAGAUCCGGAAUGAAGACAGAGACAAGUGCGCUACUGCAAAACAAAUACAUGGUUACCCAACCUGAGGUAAGUGCAGGAGGAGAGAGAGAGAGUGGGAGACAACAGGAUAGAGAUGGUGGCAAAAUGCCAGGCAUACUCAUAAGGAACAGGGACCAGAAUAUAAAUGGGAUGAUUGAAUAAAGGAACAGAGAGAUAUAGAUGGUGGAAAAAAGACAAUAUGAAUGCCUUUAAUCAUAGGUUUGCAUGAUCAUAACUUUCUUUUUGUUAAUGACUUAGAGGAAGAACAAUGGCUACAGCCCCUUUUAGGGUCCCAAAGACUGGUGGCAAAAAAGGAACUUAUCUUAAGACUAGAAACCUAGCUCAAAUGUUUACAACAGAGUAGACUGUUGGAGAUACACAAGAACUAGGUGGAGGCAUUAAACUGAACAAGAUAAAAUCUACCAUCCAACAGGAAUGGCCCUCUUUAACAGGUUCUCACAGCUUCUAUCUAUUAAAUUUUACUCACAAGGUAUUGAGUCAACUCGAGGCUAUCUGAAUACCUUAUCCAACUGACUAUUAAAUGACCUACAAUGUUCAAAAUAAAAUUUACAAAUGCAUCUCUCAUUGUAAAAUCUCACCAGUGCAAACAUAAUGGAUGCAGAGUGUCCAACUGAAAUAAUCUUAAGGGACCAUAGUUAAUUCGAUACUGACCUGCUAUUGCAGCUGAUAUAAUUGAUUUGUGUUUUUACUACUGUUGAUAUUAUUGCAUUUUCAAAUUUCCCAAACCACAUUACUUAUCUUCUCAGACAACAGAAGCCAUCACUAUUAAUCUUUGCAAUACUGCUGGUAAUGUAAAGGUUACAUCUUUCUACUAGAAUUGAACAUUUUCAGCAAAAUAAAACUGGAUGGAAAAUGAUGAAAAUUGAUCUUUAUUUUAAAUACCGAACCAGCAAGAAUUAGAAGUCA